Molecule: non-coding RNA, 823 nt
Organism: Phalacrocorax carbo (great cormorant)
Lineage: Eukaryota; Metazoa; Chordata; Aves; Suliformes; Phalacrocoracidae
Source: RefSeq, a predicted model, not a curated record
CAUGGCUCCACAAGCAGGACAACAAACCUAGUCCAAAAUUUUAUUCUGAUGACCAUAACAAUGUCUUGGACAGGAAAACCUGCAGCAUAAAACCUGCAGCAAUAGUGCAAAAUAGUGCAAAAAGAAGGACACUAUUAAAAUGAAGAAACUAAGAAAAUGAGGAAAUUGAGAAACUAAAAGUAACAACCAAAAGAGUAAAAUGUUGGAAACUAUGUAAAUACGAUGCUGGAGGCACCGACUAAAUGUACAGUGGCUGUCCAAAGAGAUUCAAGCAGUAUUAUAGCAAAUUCUUUUAAAAAGCAAGUAUGGGAGCCUGUUGGAAGUAAAGUGAUAUCUUUGAAUAAGCUAUAGCCGUGUCCAAACAAGGCAAACAGCAAAGAGUGUAAACCUGGGCAAGUGAAAUGUAAAACCACAGUAAGUACACAGAAGAUGGUUGCCUGCCAAAGAGGCUGGAGUCAACAAACGAUGGAGUACAACAGGAGCACUCACGGAAGCAUGACAAAGAGUCCCAGCUGGCCAGGCGUGAGCAGCGUUCAGCAGAUGAUGGAAUCACUCUGCGGUGCCCCGUAUCCAGUGUGGAAGGGAUCAACAUGGACCUGUUGAAGGCACGUGAGAUUUCCACUGAUGUCUCCAGGGCUUCUUUUCUGGGGGUCCCAUGUGCAACACGCUCCUGCCCACUGUACAGCAGGCAUUCCCGCAGCAAGUUGCAGGAGCACGGGUGACCCUUGCUGUUAGGUGUUCAUCCCCAGCUGUGCUGCAGCAGCAAAGCCGAGGUCACCUACAGAAGAAAGCAGGGAGAUGGGCCACCACCUGACACCCUCCA